This 807-nucleotide ribosomal RNA is filed under the name Brevibacterium sp. K25C4c3_S2. Its description in RNAcentral is "bacterial SSU rRNA". It matches the Rfam family "Bacterial small subunit ribosomal RNA", at positions 63 to 871 of the family's 1533-position model. The record is from RNAcentral. Lineage: Bacteria; Bacillati; Actinomycetota; Actinomycetes; Micrococcales; Brevibacteriaceae.
CGAACGCUGAAGCCCUGGUGCUUGCACCGGGGUGGAUGAGUGGCGCACGGGUGAGUAACACGUGAGUAACCUGCCCCCGACUUCGGGAUAAGCCCGGGAAACUGGGUCUAAUACCGGAUAUGACCAUGACUCGCAUGAGUGAUGGUGGAAAGUUUUUUCGGUUGGGGAUGGGCUCGCGGCCUAUCAGUUUGUUGGUGAGGUAAUGGCUCACCAAGACGACGACGGGUAGCCGGCCUGAGAGGGCGACCGGCCACACUGGGACUGAGACACGGCCCAGACUCCUACGGGAGGCAGCAGUGGGGAAUAUUGCACAAUGGGGGAAACCCUGAUGCAGCGACGCAGCGUGCGGGAUGACGGCCUUCGGGUUGUAAACCGCUUUCAGCAGGGAAGAAGCCCUUCGGGGUGACGGUACCUGCAGAAGAAGUACCGGCUAACUACGUGCCAGCAGCCGCGGUAAUACGUAGGGUACAAGCGUUGUCCGGAAUUAUUGGGCGUAAAGAGCUCGUAGGUGGUUGGUCACGUCUGCUGUGGAAACGCAACGCUUAACGUUGCGCGUGCAGUGGGUACGGGCUGACUAGAGUGCAGUAGGGGAGUCUGGAAUUCCUGGUGUAGCGGUGAAAUGCGCASAUAUCAGGAGGAACACCGGUGGCGAAGGCGGGACUCUGGGCUGUAACUGACACUGAGGAGCGAAAGCAUGGGGAGCGAACAGGAUUAGAUACCCUGGUAGUCCAUGCCGUAAACGUUGGGCACUAGGUGUGGGGGACAUUCCACGUUCUCCGCGCCGUAGCUAACGCAUUAAGUGCCCCG